GUUAUAGCAUAACUCUUCAAAAUCAGCUGUCUGGGGACAAGUGUAUAUGGUACAAGGCCAGAAAUGUUGCUUGGAACGUAACAAAACCCAGGCAGACAGACACGAGAAGCCUUUACACAGGCUGGAUCUCUCUGAAGUUGAUAGCGUUUGGGCAUCUUUCCCAAGUCUGCCUGACAACAUCAAUGGCGAGCUGUUGAGCUGCAGUGACCCCCUAAGCAAGCUGUCCUCUGCUGUUUUGGCUGCACCUACUAUUACUCAAGCAGUGGGAGCCAAACAAAUGCGACACUUGGAUCUUUCUUACUUGUUCUGCAAAGCAACCCCGCCAAGCCCGGAGUACGGACACGCUGCAUAAGGAAUCGACAAUUCCCCACGAUUACACAGCGGGACACGAGCACUGGCAGCAGAGCUGAGAAGUUAACUCUGGGGUAUACAGGGCUGACAAAUGCAGAGACAUAUUGAUCCUCAGCAGUCUGUCUCAUCAGUAAAGUAGUAAUGGGCUGCAUAUUAACACAACCGCCUGAAAGGUGACAAAAGACAGGGAAGGACGCGGGAGCUCAGUGCCCGGGGGAUGAACGUGCUGUGCCAGCACCACACCUAAGGUGGAAGGUCAGCCAGCCACCACUGCUUGGCUCAGAGCCUCACCAAGGCUUAGUUAAGGAGAAGAAUUAAAACUCCCCACUUUUGCUGAAGUGUUUGUGUCAGGGUGAGCAAGACUAGAAAGAGCAAAUGAAGGAAAAGGAAAAUGAGCUCCACAGGUGUUGGACAAAAGAACUGGGUGAAAAAGACUGCUUACAAAUCUGGUGUUGCUGAAUGAAUGCACAUGUCUUCAGCUGGCAUCAAGGGCAGGAACAGCUCUCUCUGGGUUCCGAGACAUGUAGUAGCAGAUACUUCUCUGCCUUCUAAGUACAAGCUGGAGGUGUCAGUGUAAAACCCAGACCAGUGCCAGGAAGUGCUUCAGUGGCACCGAGGGUUGGUGCUGCAGCUUUUGCUGGUUCAGAGUUAUUGAUGCUGCAAAAUAUCUCUGCACUCAUCCUCCCCUUACAGGGCCUGUGUGGCUCUGGCAUCCCUGCAAGAAUCAGCCUACACAAUCCAGACUCCAGAGAAAAGAGGUUUAGUGGCUUCAGGAGGGUACACAUCUGCCCUUUACCUGCAAAAAGAGGAGUGUAAAUGGAAAAGCAUGAUAUUCUGUGAAAUUUUAGGUUUCUAUCCAAAAUUCUGAGUGGUUUUGAAAUAAGACAUUGUGGAAGACAGUGGGUUUUGAAAGCUUAUUCUUACAAAGUGUGAGCACUAAAGUACUUUUUUUAGCACUACUAUUGGAAACAAUAUUGUUUUAAAAUAGGAAUAGUGGAAAA
RNAcentral lists this long non-coding RNA (1352 nucleotides) under Cyanistes caeruleus (blue tit). Its description in RNAcentral is "lncRNA (ENSCCEG00000009888.1)". Lineage: Eukaryota; Metazoa; Chordata; Aves; Passeriformes; Paridae. The record is from RNAcentral.